UACAGUCAUAUCACAUUGAAACACUGGUUCUCGUUUGAUCACCAAAGUUAAGCAACAUUGAGCCUGGUCAGCACUCCAAUGGGUAAACUCUACAGAAUGCCAGGUAUUGUAAG
This is a non-coding RNA of Acanthosepion pharaonis, 113 nucleotides long. The record is from the annotation of a GenBank genome assembly. Lineage: Eukaryota; Metazoa; Mollusca; Cephalopoda; Sepiida; Sepiidae.